Long non-coding RNA from Globicephala melas (long-finned pilot whale), 409 nucleotides. RefSeq lists it as uncharacterized. The record is from RefSeq and is a predicted model, not a curated record. Lineage: Eukaryota; Metazoa; Chordata; Mammalia; Artiodactyla; Delphinidae.
CCGUGACGAUAAUUAUCCAAGGAGAACUUUUAGAUGAAAGCACAGGAGAAAAAGAAAAUUCUUCACGUCCUUGGAAAUGGAGAGUAGCCGUCCAUAGAGUGAGGAGUUAACCUUAGUUUCAGUGAAGAUGGCUGUUAGAAGCUGGACAACCUGUCACCACCGGAGCCAGAGCAUUUGUCAGCUCACAGGUCACCACAGAGCACUGAGUAGAGUUCCCUGAACUACACAGAAGGCUUAUGCCUGUUUGAAUGCCAGCUGAAUUCCUGUAAUUGGAUGGAAAACAAACACAAAGAAAUUAUAGAGUUAUAAAAAGAGAGCAUUUAAAAAAUAUUUCAGGUAUGUAUAAUAUGAUCAUUACUACUGUUUCACGCUGGGAUACUGUGAAGGAAAUUGGAGUCAGAAUGUAAAU